UGGGGAAUAUUGGACAAUGGGGGAAACCCUGAUCCAGCCACGCCGCGUGAGUGAUGAAGGCCUUCGGGUCGUAAAGCUCUGUGGGGAGGGACGAACGUCCCCGUGAAGAACGGGGGGUGACGGUACCUCCUUAGCAAGCACCGGCUAACUUCGUGCCAGCAGCCGCGGUAAUACGAAGGGUGCAAACGUUGCUCGGAAUCAUUGGGCGUAAAGCGCACGUAGGCGGCCCCAUAAGUCGGAUGUGAAAUCCCUCGGCUCAACCGAGGAAGUGCAUCCGAAACUGCGGGGCUCGAGUAUGGAAGAGGGUCGCAGAAUUCCCGGUGUAGAGGUGAAAUUCGUAGAUAUCGGGAGGAAUACCAGUGGCGAAGGCGGCGACCUGGGCCAAUACUGACGCUGAGGUGCGAAAGCGUGGGGAGCAAACAGG
This 424-nucleotide ribosomal RNA is filed under the name uncultured bacterium. Its description in RNAcentral is "bacterial SSU rRNA". It matches the Rfam family "Bacterial small subunit ribosomal RNA", at positions 355 to 776 of the family's 1533-position model. The record is from RNAcentral.